Molecule: ribosomal RNA, 648 nt
Filed under: Amanita sp. SGT-2012
Lineage: Eukaryota; Fungi; Basidiomycota; Agaricomycetes; Agaricales; Amanitaceae
Description: eukaryotic LSU rRNA
Rfam family: 5.8S ribosomal RNA (bases 202-355)
Source: RNAcentral
GGCAGGGGGGUGGUUGUAGCUGGCCUUUAGGGGCAUGUGCACACUGUGUCUCUCUUGCUUGUUUCUUCAUUUUCUCCACUUGGUGCACUCUUGUAGGCAGCCCUGGCAGGCCCAUUGUUCAGGUUGUCUAUGAUUUUCUUUACAUACGUGAACAAUUGUUGUACAGAAUGUGAUAAAAAAUAAAAUAAAAAAGAGUAAUACAACUUUCAACAACGGAUCUCUUGGCUCUCGCAUCGAUGAAGAACGCAGCGAAAUGCGAUAAGUAAUGUGAAUUGCAGAAUUCAGUGAAUCAUCGAAUCUUUGAACGCAUCUUGCGCUCCUUGGUAUUCCGAGGAGCAUGCCUGUUUGAGUGUCAUUAAAUUCUGUCAAAACAUGCAUUUGAGUGUGUUUUGGAUUGUGGGAGUGUCUGCUGGCUUUUAUAUGAGCCAGCUCUCCUGAAAGACAUUAGCUUUGGGGGGGGAGGUGCCAAGUCACUUCUGCCUUUCCAUUGGUGUGAUAGAUGAAUUAACUUAUCUACGCCAGGAAAAGCAGGCUGCAGGUGAUGCACUGUGAUCCUCUCUGCUCUCUAAUUGACAUUUGUCUCUGAUAACUUGACCUCAAAUCAGGUAGGACUACCCGCUGAACUUAAGCAUAUCAAUAAGCGGAGGA